RNA transcript from Mus musculus (house mouse), 4595 nucleotides. It is a transcript of the gene named ankyrin repeat and sterile alpha motif domain containing 3, with no coding region annotated. The transcript is spliced from 15 exons. The record is from RefSeq and is marked validated. NCBI's taxonomy places the organism in Eukaryota, Metazoa, Chordata, Mammalia, Rodentia, Muridae.
ACUUCCGGGGUGGGCCGGGCGCAGGGCUGUCGGCCGGUGAGGGGCGAGCCGCUGUCGCUGGAGGGUGGCCCGGGAACCUGAGGCCUUGCAAGCUAUGUCUGAGCUCAGCGAUGAAGCCAGCGAGCCGGAGCUCCUGAAGCGCAGCCUGUCCAUGUGGCACGGGCUUGGUGCCCAGGGCAGCCCAGAGGAGCUGGAUGUCCCCUUGGAUCUUCACACAGCUGCCUCCAUUGGCCAGCAUGAGGUGGUGAAGGAGUGUGUGCAGCGCAAGGUGCAGAGCUUGAGAUGAAAGACAUCCAUGGCUGGACUGCACUCUUCCACUGUACCAGUGCCGGCCACCAACAGAUGGUCAAAUUUCUUCUGGAGAGUGGAGCCAAUGCCAACGUGAGGGAGCCUGUAUAUGGAUACACUCCUUUGAUGGAAGCAGCUGCCUCUGGCCAUGAGAUAAUUGUGCAGUAUUUUCUGAAUCACGGAGUCAAAGUGGACACAAGAGACCACAGUGGAGCGACAGCCUGCAUGUUAGCCAGGCAGUUUGGUCACAUGAAGAUUGUAGCCUUGAUGGAAACUCACUCACCUGUACUGCCCAAGAGCCUCUACCGUAGCCCAGAAAAAUAUGAAGAUCUGAGCUCUUCAGAUGAGUCCUGGCCUGUUCCUCAGCGCCAGAGGCCCUGCCGAAAAAAGGGCCUCAGUAUCCAUGAGGGGCCGCGUGCCCUGGCCAAGAUCACAGCUAUUGGACUCGGAGGGAAGACUCAGACCACCUAUGAGCAAGUCCCUCCACGGGGCUACGUGACCUUCACCAGCAGUGAUGAGAAUACCAUGGAAAGCGAGGGCCUCUGCUACAGAGACGUCACUUCCCCCAUCAAUGAACAGGAUGUGGAGAGCAGUAGCAGCAGCAGCCGGGAGGAACCCACUUUCUGUGCCAGUCUUGGGCCUGUGUGGAGGAGCAGCAGCAGUGAUGGCCUAGCAAGAGCCCAGGGUCUCAGCAGUGAAGCCUCCAUAGAAAGCAAUGAGGAUUCUGAUCAUGCCCGGAAAAGCUCGGUUCGAAAACAAACCAGGAGUUAUUUGAAGAAUAAGAGUCGUCACGGCAACAGUGAUGGUCAUUGGCCUUCCAGCACAGGGCCUGCUUCCAUUCCAGGGUCUGAACCCCAAACUGAGAAGUCUCCUUACUCAGGACCCCAGGACCUUGCCACACUGCUGGAACAGAUCGGGUGUCUGAAGUACCUGCAAGUGUUCGAGGAGCAGGACAUAGACCUGCGUAUCUUUCUGACUCUCACUGAAAGCGAUUUGAAGGAAAUUGGCAUCACGUGAGUCCCCUAAUGCAUUCCCCCACCCCACCAAUUUCAGCCAUUCUUCCAGCCUGUACACCAGCAGGUAGGAUGUAUAGACAGCAGCCUUUGUGCCCACAUGGCUCCAAGAUGGCCUCGCUGCUGCUGUAUGCUGGACCUUUGAGCUUUGAUAUUUUCAGUUUUUUUUGUGAUUUUAAAAUAUUUUUUUCAUGAUAACUUUCAUAGUUCUGGAGUUGGUAUUUUAUAGCACAGGCUUUUUAUUUCUCAAAAGCUUGAAUAUAAAUCUUUUAAUAUGAAAUCCAAACCAUGUAAUAUGCCUUUUGUCUCAAAACGUUCCAUAUACACAACUGCAGUUUGUGACUUGGCUGUGACUCAAUGGGUGGCUCUCACACUGGAAGUGCUCUCCCCUAGGUGGCUCUGGUGCAGCAGUUGUCCUGCUUUCAGCAGGGCUUCCUCGGUGUUUGCCUAUCUGGGAAUGUCUGACUCUGUCCUGCACUUUGGAAGGACAGUUUUCCCAGGUAAAGGAUUCUUGGUGACAGCUGUUUGCUUUGGCACUGUGGCUGCUGCAGCCUUCCAGAGUUUCGAAUGAGAACUUUACUGAAGCUCCCUGCAUGGGACGAGCUGCUUUUCUUUUGUUGUUCCAAGGUGCUGUAAGUCUUUAGCUUAGCCAUGUGUCCUGGUAUUCAUCAUCUGUGGAGUUCAUUUGGCUUCACAGAUGUUCAUAUAUUCGAUCAGGAGUGGAAGUUUCCAUCUGCCAGCUCUUCAGACCCUCUGCCCUCCUAUCACUGAGGCACUCGUAAGAAAGACCUGGCCCCAUGUGGUCUCGAGCUUUACUCGUGGGUUUAUUCUCUUACUCCUCAGACUGAAUUCCGUUGUGUUCCAGUUCCAUCAUUCUGUUCUUUGUCCGCUUAUGUAAAGCUGCCUCUGCCUGUUUUAGGAGGCUUUUCCUCAGUUUCCUUACUUCUUUGCUUGUGUUUUACAUUUCUCUCCAUUGUCUCUCCAUUUUGUAUUACUUCCACAUCAUCUUUUAGUUUUGAUUAUCUUUAAGAUGGUUGUUUCAAGGCCUUUGUCUAGCAGACCUGCUGCAGGGCUUUUUUUGGAACUUCUGUGGUUUAUUCUCUUGUAAAUGAACCAUACUCUACUUCUUGUCUUUUAAUUUUGUUGUUGAAAUGGAUAGUUAAGUCUCAUGAACUCAGGGCCUUUCCCUUCCCCCAUAAGACUUAGGAUCUUAUGAUCACUGAAGGUGAGGUCUUCUUGUGCUUCACAGAACCUACUACAAAUGAGCUGUGAAGUAGCAUGUGAAAUAUUACGUUAAGCAACUUUCCCUCAACUGCAACUCUAUAAGAAUGGAGGCUUUGUUUCUGUUGCUCAGUUUUGCAGUUCUACUACCUAACAAACUGUCACAAGACAUCCAGCACCCAACAUAUACAAAACUUCCUUAUUCAUUGAUAAAAUUUAGAUGCACUAUAACCUCUUUAAUGAAUGUGUAAGGAAAUAAAGAGAUGAUUGAAAAAUUGUUGGCCAAGAAUUUCUUCCAGCUGUAUUAUCAGAGAGAGGAGGACAAACAAGACUUAGAAGACAGAUGAUCUCCAGGGAUCUGUUUUUUUUUAAACUUACUGUUGUUGGCUGCUUCUGUGCACAGGACUAGUUGGAGGGUGAAACCUGAAGGUCCCCUUAGAGCCUGUACCUUUCCCUAGGCACAAGUGAUGACUUUCCUCCCAUCUGUAGUUGCUUUGAGACAAGUCACUUCUCUGUAGUCAAGGGUGAUCCUGAACUCUCAUGCCCACCUUCCAAAGUGCACCAAUGUUCUGGGCAUGCAGGUACUUUCAGUGUCCUAGACUUUGUUGUUGACUCCCUACACAGGGAAAAUGAAGAAAUAAGAGGUAUUGCCCUUAGAGCACUCCUCACUCCCCCAAUCUCCAAAUCCUACCUCUUCAGGCAGAGUGAAUGAGUGGCUUAUAGCAGUGGCCCUCAGUAACCAGAAGUUCUGUCUUGAUACUGGGAGGACAGGGUCUGCCUUGCCUACCCUGCUUCCUGAAUGUUGUGUCGGGAUGGCUGCUGCUAUGUAGAGCUGAGCUUAAGCCUAAGCUGGCUGCACUCACUCACGGAAGCCUGCAGUGACUCCCACGGCACUUGUCUGGAGGGGAGAUUCCUGGAGAUCUCCCUUGAGAGCACAGACACAGUUGUCCAAGCCUGAAGCCAAUGAUGGUGGAGGCUUUUUAGACACUCUUGUUUUGGUUCUCUGCCCUAGGAUCUUCUACAACCUCCCUUCUUCAGUUAGGUGUUCCCUAGUGACUGGCCUUGGUGGCAGGUUGGUACCAAGGUCCAUGCACAUGACAGAAGGUAACAUGCACCCUGAUUUACCCACUCAGGUUGUUUGGGCCCAAAAGGAAAAUGACCUCUGCCAUUGCCCGCUGGCACAGCAGUGCCCGCCCACCUAGUGAUGCCCUAGAGCUGGCCUAUGCUGACCGGCUGGAGACUGAGAUGCAGGAGCUUGCCAUUCAGUUGCAUAAAUGCUGUGAGGAGGCAGAGGCUCUGCGUGGCCAGGUAUCCCAGGAGCAGGAAUUGCGGGCUGUAGUAGAGAGCUGCCUCCUGGAGCAGGAUAGUGCCCGAAAGGACAUCCAUGCCCAGCUGCAGGAGGCCCAAACCCUGGCCCAGGAUGCUGCCCUUGUCCUGGACCAGCUGCGGGCCUGUCAAGCUGAGCUGUCAGCUCGAUUGCGGCAGCACCACUCCCCCAGGGAAGGUACUCCAAACCCACACUUUCUCUCAGCAGAUUCCAAAGGCUGGCCCAUUCCCCUGCAGGCCUUGAGCCUCCCUGAGUUGUCAGGAGCCCUGGAAGACCGUGUCCAUGAGAUGGGGCAGGCGUUAUGCUCUGUAACACAGAGCUUGGAGAAACUACAGAUGCUGAAUGCAAAGAAAUGGCGGGAACCGUAGCCAGGAGGGACGAUUCUGACGUUGGGUGAUAAAUCCACCCUGAAGUUAUGUGCCACGCAAGACAGGGCAGUGAGCAGAUGGCUGCGGCAGCCCAGGGAAUAGAAGACCAUUCCAGGGAGCAGCUUAUGGACAGGAAGACAGGACUGCGGUCCCCACUAGGGCAGCUUGGGCCAGCCCUGAGACAGGAUGGAGGGCUCAGCACCCAGAUCCUGGUGGAGAGGCCCAUGCUGGUAGGCAGCUUUGGCCCAGACCAGGCAGGGCUGUAUGGAGAGGUUGUGUCCUGCACAUGCAGGUGCCAUACUGAGGUCUGAUCUUACAGACAAGGUCUGGGGUGCCUAGAAAAUGUACUCUUUGAAAAUAAAAAUUAGAUGCAAGUUG